RNAcentral lists this unclassified non-coding RNA (520 nucleotides) under uncultured Glomus. RNAcentral describes it as "SSU rRNA". It matches the Rfam family "Eukaryotic small subunit ribosomal RNA", at positions 569 to 1078 of the family's 1831-position model. Lineage: Eukaryota; Fungi; Glomeromycota; Glomeromycetes; Glomerales; Glomeraceae. RNAcentral also lists the same sequence under 1 other name. The record is from RNAcentral.
AGCAGCCGCGGUAAUCCCAGCUCCAAUAGCGUAUAUUAAAGUUGUUGCAGUUAAAAAAGCUCGUAGUUGAAUUUUCGGGGAUUGACACAUCGGUCGUGCCUUAAGGGGGUAUGAACUGGUGUAGUCAAUUUCUCACCUUCUGGAGAACCGCGAUGCCCUUAAUUGGGUGUCGCGGGGAACCAGGACCUUUACUUUGAAAAAUUUAGAGUGUUUAAAGCAGGCAUUUUGCUUGAAUACAUUAGCAUGGAAUAAUAAAAUAGGACGGCAUGAUUCUAUUUUGUUGGUUUCUAGGAUCACCGUAAUGAUUAAUAGGGAUAGUUGGGGGCAUUAGUAUUCAAUUGUCAGAGGUGAAAUUCUUGGAUCUAUUGAAGACUAACUACUGCGAAAGCAUUUGCCAAGGAUGUUUUCAUUAAUCAAGAACGAAAGUUAGGGGAUCGAAGACGAUCAGAUACCGUCGUAGUCUUAACCAUAAACUAUGCCGACUAGGGAUCGGAUGAUGUUAAUUUUUUUCAAUGACUCA